Rhineura floridana is the source of this 377-nucleotide long non-coding RNA. RefSeq lists it as uncharacterized. The record is from RefSeq and is a predicted model, not a curated record. The transcript has 3 exons. Lineage: Eukaryota; Metazoa; Chordata; Lepidosauria; Squamata; Rhineuridae.
GCCCGCUUUUAGGAGGCAGGCGAAACCGAGACCCCGAAGUGACGAGAGGUUUUCAAACAGCUUCAACCGAUCUCGAGUGUGCUUGGAUUUGAGGCACAGCCCAGUCUUCUAGCAGGUAUUGACUUGGCGUACAAGUCCUCCUUCAUGCCAUGGGACUUGUUGCCAAGGAGACAGCUGGGCUUAUCUACAUGGUGGUUUACUAUGUGCUUGCUGCUACUUGAAUCUUAAUUUGCAUCGUUCACAUGAUGUUAUGGCAAACAGAAGCUAUCACACAGUUUUCUCCUUGAACAAAGGAAUCUACCUUAUAAGCGACUCAGGCCAGUUGGUACCGUCAAGCUCAGUACUGAUGACAUGGACUAGCAUUGGCUCUCCAAGAU